Molecule: long non-coding RNA, 738 nt
Filed under: Helianthus annuus (common sunflower)
Lineage: Eukaryota; Viridiplantae; Streptophyta; Magnoliopsida; Asterales; Asteraceae
Description: hypothetical non coding rna
Source: RNAcentral
UAUGAUAGGGUUAAAAACAACCAAAACUAUAUGUCAAACAAAAGAUGAGGGGCCUAAGUUGUAAGAAAUUGAAAUUAUAUUACUAAUUUUAAUAAAAAUCAAAACCAAACACCCAUUAAGGAUGUCUGGUCGUACAGGAAAGGGCAGGGGCGACUCCCCACUCUUCAAAACCCUAGAACUUCACUAAUCUUGCAAAUUGAAGGUCCAAUUCAGUCCAAAAUCGAAAUUUAAGCAUGGAUUAUUGAUCCUCAUCACAAGAGGAUUAAAAGGUAUGUAAAAUUUAAUGAAAAAUCUCUAGUUGGAUUUCUAGGUAAACUUAGAAAUCUGAAAUUUAUGGUUGCAUGUUCGUUAUAUGAUGAAAUUAGGAAUGAUUUUAUGUCUAGGAGUAAACCCUAGUCAUUUACUUGUUGAAUUGAUGUUCCUAAUUGUGAAUUCAUGAUCACCCGAUUAUGUGCUAAAUGGGUUUUGUAGAAACAUGAUGAACACUAGAAUCAUAAUGGUUAAAUUGUGUUAAUAGAACUCACUGAAGUUAGAUUUGAAGUUAAUCUCUUUCAAGUACAAACAAACGACAAAAGUUAAGCGAUUUUUGGAAGAGUGGAAGAUGGAUAAGGAAGAUUUCUUGGAUGACAAUUGAAGACCAAUGUUUUUUUUUGGUAUGCCACUAAGAGAACUAGAGGGUAUUUUCAGCCUUGUACUUGUAUUUUGUUGAUAUUUAUAAAAAUCACCGGGGUAACCCUU